GAUUUGUCUGGUUAAUUCCGAUAACGAACGAGACCUUAACCUGCUAACUAGUCUGUCACAUUUCAUGUGAUUUGACUUCUUAGAGGGACUAUGUAUGUUAAUUACAUGGAAGUUUGAGGCAAUAACAGGUCUGUGAUGCCCUUAUAUGUCCUGGGCUGCACGCGUGCUACACUGAUACAUACAAUAAGUGCCUAUCCCGCUAGGCCAUGGCAAUCUCGAAUAUGUAUCGUGAUGGGGAUAGAUCUUUGCAAUUAUAGAUCUUGAACGAGGAAUUCCUAGUAAGUGCAAGUCAUCAUCUUGCAUUGAUUAUGUCCCUGCCCUUUGUACACACCGCCCGUCGCUCCUACCGGUACCGGGUGGUCCGGUGAACCUUUUGGACCGCGCAAGUGGAAAGAUAAGUAAACCAUAUCACCUAGAGGAAGGAGAAGUCGUAACAAGGUUUCCGUAGGUGAACCUGCRGAAGGAUCA
Molecule: ribosomal RNA, 468 nt
Filed under: uncultured ciliate
Lineage: Eukaryota; Ciliophora
Description: SSU rRNA
Rfam family: Eukaryotic small subunit ribosomal RNA
Source: RNAcentral